GCUCCGCGUUCUCCAUUUUGGGCCACCCAUGGGGGGGGUCUCCGUAGAGGCCCCGAGGGAGAGUUGGGCGAGGGAAGGAAGAGAAAAUCUUCAGCGAGGGUAGUCGAAAAGAAGAGCUCUACGGUAGAAAGCCACUCUAGGAGUAGGAGUGUAGUGAACCUUUGACCGCCAAGAGUUCUUUACUCAGGGGAGAAAAACUCGGGAAGGGCCUAUCCCCUCAAAAGCUCCGCUUUUUCCUUGGACAGGAAGAAGUGACCUAUUACAACGUCUCCAUUGCUGUUGACAGAAGUUCGUAGAUUCAUAAAAUAAGUGUUUGCUUAAGAAGUCUUCGUUUGUGUUCCUUUUUUGAAAUUUUCGAUAAAAUAUUUAAUAUUAAAUUACAUUUCAAUUAGAAUGGAAUAAAACGUAUUCAUGACAAAUUUUCCAAAUGGGAAAUAGGCAAGUCCUGUGUAAAUAACGAAGCCUUCGCUCCGAUAUCACUUUUAACAUUCCUAAUGCAAAAUAACGAUUAUUUUCAGUCCUUAAAUUGUAUUCCUUCUGUAUCUCAUUAGUUUCUUUCUCUUCCUCUCUGCUUAUUGUUUUUUCUGCAACUUUACAAAAAGAGUUAUAGUAUAUUUAAUCAACUGGACAAUAAAAGUUAAACAGAAACGUCUAAAUGUCAAUAACAAGAAGUAAAAUCUGAGACGUUUUUACUUACCUCUAAAGCUUUGAGGAGUGGAAUACUAUUCAAAAUAAAUUUCCAUUUCUUUUAUAGA
This is a long non-coding RNA of Sapajus apella (tufted capuchin), 755 nucleotides long. RefSeq lists it as uncharacterized. The record is from RefSeq and is a predicted model, not a curated record. The transcript has 2 exons. NCBI's taxonomy places the organism in Eukaryota, Metazoa, Chordata, Mammalia, Primates, Cebidae.